This 239-nucleotide ribosomal RNA is filed under the name uncultured Anaerolineaceae bacterium. Its description in RNAcentral is "partial 16S ribosomal RNA". It matches the Rfam family "Bacterial small subunit ribosomal RNA", at positions 1143 to 1382 of the family's 1533-position model. Lineage: Bacteria; Bacillati; Chloroflexota; Anaerolineae; Anaerolineales; Anaerolineaceae. The record is from RNAcentral.
ACAGGACUGCUGGUAUUAAGCCGGAGGAAGGUGGGACGACGUCAAGUCAGCAUGACCUUUAUAUCCAGGGCUACACACACGCUACAAUGGUCAGUACAAUGGGUUGCCAAGCCGCGAGGCGGAGCCAAUCCUAAAAAGCUGGCUCAGUUCAGAUUGCAGUCUGAAACUCGACUGCAUGAAGUCGGAGUUGCUAGUAAACGCAGGUCAGCUAUACUGCGUUGAAUACGUUCCCGGGGCUU